Molecule: ribosomal RNA, 1540 nt
Filed under: Staphylococcus aureus
Lineage: Bacteria; Bacillati; Bacillota; Bacilli; Caryophanales; Staphylococcaceae
Description: 16S ribosomal RNA
Rfam family: Bacterial small subunit ribosomal RNA
Source: RNAcentral
AGAGUUUGAUCCUGGCUCAGGAUGAACGCUGGCGGCGUGCCUAAUACAUGCAAGUCGAGCGAACGGACGAGAAGCUUGCUUCUCUGAUGUUAGCGGCGGACGGGUGAGUAACACGUGGAUAACCUACCUAUAAGACUGGGAUAACUUCGGGAAACCGGAGCUAAUACCGGAUAAUAUUUUGAACCGCAUGGUUCAAAAGUGAAAGACGGUCUUGCUGUCACUUAUAGAUGGAUCCGCGCUGCAUUAGCUAGUUGGUAAGGUAACGGCUUACCAAGGCAACGAUGCAUAGCCGACCUGAGAGGGUGAUCGGCCACACUGGAACUGAGACACGGUCCAGACUCCUACGGGAGGCAGCAGUAGGGAAUCUUCCGCAAUGGGCGAAAGCCUGACGGAGCAACGCCGCGUGAGUGAUGAAGGUCUUCGGAUCGUAAAACUCUGUUAUUAGGGAAGAACAUAUGUGUAAGUAACUGUGCACAUCUUGACGGUACCUAAUCAGAAAGCCACGGCUAACUACGUGCCAGCAGCCGCGGUAAUACGUAGGUGGCAAGCGUUAUCCGGAAUUAUUGGGCGUAAAGCGCGCGUAGGCGGUUUUUUAAGUCUGAUGUGAAAGCCCACGGCUCAACCGUGGAGGGUCAUUGGAAACUGGAAAACUUGAGUGCAGAAGAGGAAAGUGGAAUUCCAUGUGUAGCGGUGAAAUGCGCAGAGAUAUGGAGGAACACCAGUGGCGAAGGCGACUUUCUGGUCUGUAACUGACGCUGAUGUGCGAAAGCGUGGGGAUCAAACAGGAUUAGAUACCCUGGUAGUCCACGCCGUAAACGAUGAGUGCUAAGUGUUAGGGGGUUUCCGCCCCUUAGUGCUGCAGCUAACGCAUUAAGCACUCCGCCUGGGGAGUACGACCGCAAGGUUGAAACUCAAAGGAAUUGACGGGGACCCGCACAAGCGGUGGAGCAUGUGGUUUAAUUCGAAGCAACGCGAAGAACCUUACCAAAUCUUGACAUCCUUUGACAACUCUAGAGAUAGAGCCUUCCCCUUCGGGGGACAAAGUGACAGGUGGUGCAUGGUUGUCGUCAGCUCGUGUCGUGAGAUGUUGGGUUAAGUCCCGCAACGAGCGCAACCCUUAAGCUUAGUUGCCAUCAUUAAGUUGGGCACUCUAAGUUGACUGCCGGUGACAAACCGGAGGAAGGUGGGGAUGACGUCAAAUCAUCAUGCCCCUUAUGAUUUGGGCUACACACGUGCUACAAUGGACAAUACAAAGGGCAGCGAAACCGCGAGGUCAAGCAAAUCCCAUAAAGUUGUUCUCAGUUCGGAUUGUAGUCUGCAACUCGACUACAUGAAGCUGGAAUCGCUAGUAAUCGUAGAUCAGCAUGCUACGGUGAAUACGUUCCCGGGUCUUGUACUCACCGCCCGUCACACCACGAGAGUUUGUAACACCCGAAGCCGGUGGAGUAACCUUUUAGGAGCUAGCCGUCGAAGGUGGGACAAAUGAUUGGGGUGAAGUCGUAACAAGGUAGCCGUAUCGGAAGGUGCGGCUGGAUCACCU